GACGAACGCUGGCGGCGUGCUUAACACAUGCAAGUCGAACGGAAAGGCCCUGCUUUUGUGGGGUGCUCGAGUGGCGAACGGGUGAGUAGCACGUGAGUAACCUGCCCUUGACUUUGGGAUAACUUCAGGAAACUGGGGCUAAUACCGGAUAGGAGCUCCUGCUGCAUGGUGGGGGUUGGAAAGUUUCGGCGGUUGGGGAUGGACUCGCGGCUUAUCAGCUUGUUGGUGGGGUAGUGGCUUACCAAGGCUUUGACGGGUAGCCGGCCUGAGAGGGUGACCGGCCACAUUGGGACUGAGAUACGGCCCAGACUCCUACGGGAGGCAGCAGUGGGGAAUAUUGCACAAUGGGCGGAAGCCUGAUGUAGCAACGCCGCGUGCGGGAUGACGGCCUUCGGGUUGUAAACCGCUUUCGCCUGUGACGAAGCGUGAGUGACGGUAAUGGGUAAAGAAGCACCGGCUAACUACGUG
This 468-nucleotide ribosomal RNA is filed under the name uncultured bacterium. RNAcentral's name for it is "partial 16S ribosomal RNA". It matches the Rfam family "Bacterial small subunit ribosomal RNA", at positions 28 to 507 of the family's 1533-position model. The record is from RNAcentral.